Molecule: non-coding RNA, 72 nt
Organism: Phrynosoma platyrhinos (Desert horned lizard)
Lineage: Eukaryota; Metazoa; Chordata; Lepidosauria; Squamata; Phrynosomatidae
Source: the annotation of a GenBank genome assembly
GCCAGCGUGACGUAGUGGUUUGAGUGUUGGAUUAUGACUCUGGAGACCAGGGUUUGAUUCCCUGCUCAUCCA